GGACAGUUGCCUGAAAGGUUAAAGGAGCAGUUUGCUAAACUGUGGAGGUAAAACUCUUAUCGGUUCGAGUCCGAUACUGUCCG
This 83-nucleotide transfer RNA is filed under the name Caudoviricetes sp. RNAcentral describes it as "tRNA-Ser". It matches the Rfam family "tRNA". From Rfam's summary of the family: Transfer RNA (tRNA) molecules are approximately 80 nucleotides in length. Their secondary structure includes four short double-helical elements and three loops (D, anti-codon, and T loops). The record is from RNAcentral. Lineage: Duplodnaviria; Heunggongvirae; Uroviricota; Caudoviricetes.